This 24-nucleotide microRNA is filed under the name Gossypium hirsutum (cotton). RNAcentral's name for it is "ghr-miR7502". The record is from miRBase by way of RNAcentral. Lineage: Eukaryota; Viridiplantae; Streptophyta; Magnoliopsida; Malvales; Malvaceae.
UUUUUAACAGUAGAAAUGAAUGAA